Molecule: ribosomal RNA, 254 nt
Filed under: uncultured bacterium
Lineage: Bacteria
Description: partial 16S ribosomal RNA
Rfam family: Bacterial small subunit ribosomal RNA
Source: RNAcentral
UACGAAGGGGGCUAGCGUUGUUCGGAAUCACUGGGCGUAAAGGGCGCGUAGGCGGCUUUGUAAGUCGGGGGUGAAAGCCUGUGGCUCAACCACAGAAUUGCCUUCGAUACUGCAUGGCUUGAGACCGGAAGAGGUAAGUGGAACUGCGAGUGUAGAGGUGAAAAUUCGUAGAUAUUCGCAAGAACACCAGUGGCGAAGGCGGCUCACUGGCCCGAUACUGACGCUGAGGCACGAAAGCGUGGGGAGCAAACAGG